AGUGAACGCUGGCGGUAGACCUAACACAUGCAAGUCGAACGGCAGCACAGUAAGAGCUUGCUCUUACGGGUGGCGAGUGGCGGACGGGUGAGGAAUACAUCGGAAUCUACUUUUUCGUGGGGGAUAACGUAGGGAAACUUACGCUAAUACCGCAUACGACCUACGGGUGAAAGCAGGGGAUCUUCGGACCUUGCGCGAUUGAAUGAGCCGAUGUCGGAUUAGCUAGUUGGCGGGGUAAAGGCCCACCAAGGCGACGAUCCGUAGCUGGUCUGAGAGGAUGAUCAGCCACACUGGAACUGAGACACGGUCCAGACUCCUACGGGAGGCAGCAGUGGGGAAUAUUGGACAAUGGGCGCAAGCCUGAUCCAGCCAUACCGCGUGGGUGAAGAAGGCCUUCGGGUUGUAAAGCCCUUUUGUUGGGAAAGAAAAGCAGCAGGUUAAUACCCCGUUGUUCUGACGGUACCCAAAGAAUAAGCACCGGCUAACUUCGUG
RNAcentral lists this ribosomal RNA (492 nucleotides) under uncultured bacterium. RNAcentral's name for it is "partial 16S ribosomal RNA". It matches the Rfam family "Bacterial small subunit ribosomal RNA", at positions 29 to 507 of the family's 1533-position model. The record is from RNAcentral.